UUACCUUCGAAUUGGAAUGUGAAACAAGAAAUUUUGUAACUGAGAUUGGAAUUAAAUUAUCGUUUCAUGCUUACAUCUGCCACGUCACCGUGAACGGAGGCAGAAAUAUAAUUAAAGAAUCCAAUGUCCUCGUAACUUCUGAUGGUAAAGACACUUAUGUUUCUAACGAAGAGUACCAAGUGGUAUUUGAUGACUACGAAGACGACGAUAAGUGCCUGAUUGUUGCGAAGCCUGGACAAAGCAUCGCUUGCAAAUCGACAUUCAAAUGGCCACGUGUGGUUUACCAAAUCCUUAUUUAUACCAGCGGAAAGACAGGUAGCGUCAUGAAAGAUUUUAAGGUGGAGCUUUUGAACGACGACUAUGAUGUCGUAUUUUCGGAGACUUUUCAUAAUUUCUCAACUUUCUACAAAAUCAACGUCCCCUACAGUGGUCUAGUGUUGGGCAUUGUUUUGAACGCAAGCGAUGUGCUAACACUAUGUGAAAUACAGGUUUUCGGCGAGUGCGGUAAAAGAAGAUACGGUAUAGAUUGUAGCGAAGUAUGUAGCAUCACAUGUUCUGACCAAGAUUGUCAGUUUACUGGGGUUUGUAAGAAAUGUGUACGUAACAGAAUUGGGGAAUACUG
Molecule: long non-coding RNA, 622 nt
Organism: Physella acuta
Lineage: Eukaryota; Metazoa; Mollusca; Gastropoda; Physidae
Source: RefSeq, a predicted model, not a curated record